This 148-nucleotide non-coding RNA is filed under the name Homo sapiens (human). Lineage: Eukaryota; Metazoa; Chordata; Mammalia; Primates; Hominidae. The record is from Rfam by way of RNAcentral.
GCCAGGUGUGGUGGUGCGCACCUGUAAUCCCAGUUACUUGGGAGGCUGAGGCAGGAAAAUUGCUUGAACCCGGGAGGCGGAGGUUGCAGUGAGCCAAGAUUGCACCACUGCACUCCAGCCUGGGUGACAGAGCAAGACUCUGUCUCAA